GCAUAUUAUGUGUUUUAUUCAUAAACCGUCGAAUAUAGUUCAAAUAGACAUUCAAAAUAUUGAAAGAUUUGCAAUAAGAAUAAAUUUCUCUAGUUCAUUUCAGGAUGACAACAGAAACAAACAUGACAGUUCAUUUGAGCUUGUGAUUCCCUGUUUUGUUGCAGACGAACAUUCUCAUUUCACGAGCAUCAUAGAAAGUGCCAUAGGUGGAAGUGCCCUACUAAGCGUCAUUUAUGUAUCGACAUGUUUUAUUUUGAAAAAGAAAGAAAUCAAACGUCUCAUCGAUAGUUUGAAGAUUUUUGAAGAUUAUCUUCCUGAAGAUGAGAUAGACAAAGCAGAAAAAUCCGCUAAAUUCUAUACCAAAACAUUCCUAUUUUAUGGAAUCAUCGGAAAUGGUCUAUAUGAAUCUUCUCCAUUCAUGUCCUUUAAAGAAUGCAGAGGAGAGAGAACCCAACAAAUGAUUAAAUUGGGAAUACCCUGUAAAGUAAUUGUGAGGUAUGUGCUUCCAUUCAAAUACGACACAACGCCUUUUUACGAGCUGGUUAUUCUAGAACAAGUUGCAGUAGCUAUUUUAGGAACUAUUCUUGUGAUGACUAUCUCGAUGUUAGUUUGUGGAAUAUUGACUCAUAUUGCUUCAAAUCUUAGUUAUCUUAAAAAGAUAAUUGAAGACAUAUCCAGAGUUGAAGAGCCUCAGCUGAAAGAUCACGUCAACUUAUGUAUCAAAUAUCACACUAUUAUUUUGGAGAUUUCAGAUAAGACCAAUAACGCAUUCGAGGGUAUGAUGCUGAUUCACAUAACUUGGACUAGUUUCAUAAUAAGUGUAUUAGGAUUUGGAAUAAUCAUGGAAUCGAAUUUUUGGAAUAACCUGAGAGUACCGACAUUUCUGAAGCGAUAUACGGAACAAAGUGGUAUGAAAAAAAUCCAAAUAUACGAAGAGCGCUCACAUUACUUUUAUUACGUUCACAAAGACCUCUAGUAUUGAAAGCGGCAGGAUUAAGAAUAAUGUCUUUGUCUACUUUCUUAGGUGUUCUCUACUCUGCAUAUUCAUAUUUCACACUUCUUCUGAAGAUCAAGCCAUAGAAUUCCAUCACUGAGAAAAGAUUAUCAACACAAACAGGACUCGAAUGGGAUUGAGUGACACAUAAAUAGUUGGCUUUUUUAGAUAUCACUUUGAAAUAAAA
This 1181-nucleotide unclassified non-coding RNA is filed under the name Leptinotarsa decemlineata (Colorado potato beetle). Its description in RNAcentral is "odorant receptor 85b-like, transcript variant X1". The record is from RNAcentral. Lineage: Eukaryota; Metazoa; Arthropoda; Insecta; Coleoptera; Chrysomelidae.